RNAcentral lists this ribosomal RNA (471 nucleotides) under uncultured Comamonas sp. RNAcentral's name for it is "bacterial SSU rRNA". It matches the Rfam family "Bacterial small subunit ribosomal RNA", at positions 904 to 1382 of the family's 1533-position model. Lineage: Bacteria; Pseudomonadati; Pseudomonadota; Betaproteobacteria; Burkholderiales; Comamonadaceae. The record is from RNAcentral.
UUAAUGAAUUGACGGGACCCGCACAAGCGGUGGAUGAUGUGUUUAAUUCGAUGCAACGCGAAAACCUUACCACCUUUGACAUGUACGAAUCCUUUAGAGAUAGAGGAGUGCUCGAAAGAGAGCCGUAACACAGGUGCUGCAUGGCUGUCGUCAGCUCGUGUCGUGAGAUGUUGGGUUAAGUCCCGCAACGAGCGCAACCCUUGUCAUUAGUUGCUACGAAAGGGCACUCUAAUGAGACUGCCGGUGACAAACCGGAGGAAGGUGGGGAUGACGUCAAGUCCUCAUGGCCCUUAUAGGUGGGGCUACACACGUCAUACAAUGGCUGGUACAAAGGGUUGCCAACCCGCGAGGGGGAGCCAAUCCCAUAAAGCCAGUCGUAGUCCGGAUCGCAGUCUGCAACUCGACUGCGUGAAGUCGGAAUCGCUAGUAAUCGUGGAUCAGCAUGUCACGGUGAAUACGUUCCCGGGUCUU